Molecule: ribosomal RNA, 925 nt
Filed under: Triticum aestivum (bread wheat)
Lineage: Eukaryota; Viridiplantae; Streptophyta; Magnoliopsida; Poales; Poaceae
Description: partial small subunit ribosomal RNA
Source: RNAcentral
GCGCGAAGCUUGCAAUAGAGGUUGGAGAGCAGAGCACGGGGUAGGUGCAGAGAGGCUGCACGGGCGAGGUUGAGAGUAGGUUACCGGAGCGGCGUGCGGCUGGGCGUCGUCGUCGUGGUGCGCAGCCGCGGCGGCGAGGACGAGCGGCAUGAGGCGCAAGGCAAGGGCCCCCGGGUCGCGGGCGCGCGCGAGGGGCGGGGCCUGGAGCGGGGAGAGCGCGCGGCGGAGCUGCUCGAGCGGCGGCGCCGCCGGCGGGUGGGCGAGGACUCCGGCGAGAAGCUGGAGGCGGUGGUGGAGAGGUGGAAGAGGGUCUCGCCCUCCGUCUCCUACCACCGCUACGCCGUCCGCCGCACGGGCGACCGGCCGCCGCUCCCGACGAAGCGCCGCCACGACCCGCCCAGGCACCGGCCGUACCACCACAGGUUGCCGCAGUUGUCGAAGGAGUCGGAGAUGUUGUGGCACGAGCAGUAGGCCGAGCACGAGUGGACCAAGGGGUUGUGCGGCGGGCGCUAGCAGAGCGGGGAGUCGUGCCACACACUAGGCAUGGACUUGUAGAAGGCCCCGUAGUAGGGCGGCGACCCGCCCGACCUGGACAGGGGGUAGGAGCGGAAGGACCACGAGUUGCGGGAGUGGCCGUGGCGGCGGCGCGAGGGCCGGCUCGAGGGACGGGUUUGGCCGAGCCACGCGGGACUGCUCGAGUGGCGGUUGGUCUCCUUCACCUACUCCUCUAAGGCGGGCCCCUUUAGCGUCCUCCGUCUCCUACCACGAGGAGCGAUCUGAGCACGUUAAAAAACCUCACGAGGUAGUUUUACACACAACAGUAAGCCGUACAGCUUAAUGGUGACUCCGGACUAAAAAGAAGAAGACUUACACAUACAUCACCUUGGUUUGACGAACUGACAUCACGGUAAAAAACCCAGAAAGA